CCUUACCUACCCUUGACAUGUCAAGAAUUCUGCAGAGAUGUGGAAGUGCUCGAAAGAGAACUUGAACACAGGUGCUGCAUGGCCGUCGUCAGCUCGUGUCGUGAGAUGUUGGGUUAAGUCCCGCAACGAGCGCAACCCUUGUCAUUAGUUGCUACGCAAGAGCACUCUAAUGAGACUGCCGGUGACAAACCGGAGGAAGGUGGGGAUGACGUCAGGUCCUCAUGGCCCUUAUGGGUAGGGCUACACACGUCAUACAAUGGCCGGUACAGAGGGCUGCCAACCCGCGAGGGGGAGCCAAUCCCAGAAAACCGGUCGUAGUCCGGAUCGUAGUCUGCAACUCGACUGCGUGAAGUCGGAAUCGCUAGUAAUCGCGGAUCAGCUUGCCGCGGUGAAUACGUUCCCGGGUCUUGUACACACCGCCCGUCACACCAUGGGAG
RNAcentral lists this ribosomal RNA (437 nucleotides) under uncultured bacterium. Its description in RNAcentral is "bacterial SSU rRNA". It matches the Rfam family "Bacterial small subunit ribosomal RNA", at positions 969 to 1410 of the family's 1533-position model. The record is from RNAcentral.